UGAACAAGGUUUCCCUAGGUGAACCUGCGGAAGGAUCAUUACAGUAUUCUUUUUGCCAGCGCUUAAAUGCGCGGCGAAAAAACCUUACACACAGUGUUUUUUGUUAUUACAAGAACUCUUGCUUUGGUCUGGACUAGAAAUAGUUUGGGCCAGAGGUUUACUAAACUAAACUUCAAAAUUUAUAUUGAAAUGUUAUUUAUUUUAAAUGUCAAAUUGUUGAUUAAAAUCAAAAAAACUUCAAAACUUUCAACAACGGAUCUCUUGGUUCUCGCAUCGAUGAAGAACGCAGCGAAAAGCGAUAAGUAAAAUGAAAUGCAGAUUUUCGUGAAACAUCGAAACUUUGAACGCACAUUGCGCCCUUUGGUAUUCCAAAGGGCAUGCCUGUUUGAGCGUCAUUUCUCUCUCAAACCUUCGGGUUUGGUAUUGAGUGAUACUCUUAGUCGAACUAGGCGUUUGCUUGAAAAGUAUUGGCAUGAGUGGUACUGGAUAGUGCUAUAUGACUUUCAAAGUAUUAGGUUUAUCCAACUCGUUGAAAAGUUUAAAGGUAUAUUUCUCGGUAUUCUAGGCUCGGCCUUACAAAAUAACAAACAAGUUUGACCUCAAAACAGGUAGGACUACCCCCUGAACUUAAGCAUAUCAAAA
This 642-nucleotide ribosomal RNA is filed under the name Debaryomyces hansenii. RNAcentral's name for it is "eukaryotic LSU rRNA". The stretch from base 242 to 395 matches the Rfam family "5.8S ribosomal RNA". Lineage: Eukaryota; Fungi; Ascomycota; Pichiomycetes; Serinales; Debaryomycetaceae. The record is from RNAcentral.